CGCCCUUAGAGUUUGAUCCUGGCUCAGGACGAACGCUUGCGGCAUGCCUAAGCUAUGCAAGUCGAGCGGGGUGUUUUCGCUGAGUCUUCGGACAAGGCGGUUACACCUAGCGGCGAACGGGUGAGUAACACGUGAGCAACCUGCCCCGCUGUCUGGGAUAACAGACCGAAAGGUCUGCUAAUACCGGAUAGGAAGCCCCAUCGCAUGGUGGGACUUGGAAAUGGAGCAAUCCGCGGCGGGAGGGGCUCGCGCCCUAUCAGCUAGUUGGUGAGGUAACGGCCCACCAAGGCGACGACGGGUAGCCGACCUGAGAGGGUGACCGGCCACACUGGGACUGAGACACGGCCCAGACUCCUACGGGAGGCAGCAAGCGGGAAUAUUGCACAACGGGGGAAACCCUGGUGCAGCGAUGCCGCGUGAGGGAUGAAGGCCUUCGGGUCGUAAACCUCUUUUGGCAGGGACGAACACAAUGACGGUACCUGCAGAAGAAGCUCCGGCUAACUCCGUGCCAGCAGCCGCGGUAAUACGGAGGGAGCGAGCGUUGUCCGGAUUUACUGGGCGUAAAGAGCGCGUAGGUGGUUCGUUAAGUCGGCUGUGAAAUCACUGGGCUUAACCCAGUUAGGUCAGUCGAUACUGAUAGACUUGAGUCCGGGAGAGGGAAGCGGAAUAGCUGGUGUAGCGGUGGAAUGCGUAGAUAUCAGCUAGAACACCGGUGGCGAAGGCGGCUUCCUGGACCGGCACUGACACUGAGGCGCGAAAGCUAGGGGAGCGAACAGGCUUAGAUACUCUGGUAGUCCUAGCCGUAAACGAUGGUUACUAGGUGUUGGGGGUAUCGACCUCUCCAGUGCCGUAGCUAACGCAUUAAGUAACUCGCUGGGGAGUACGGCGCAAGGCUGAAACUCAA
Molecule: ribosomal RNA, 904 nt
Filed under: uncultured bacterium
Lineage: Bacteria
Description: bacterial SSU rRNA
Rfam family: Bacterial small subunit ribosomal RNA
Source: RNAcentral